This 64-nucleotide transfer RNA is filed under the name Staphylininae sp. 1 ACP-2013. Its description in RNAcentral is "tRNA-Pro". Lineage: Eukaryota; Metazoa; Arthropoda; Insecta; Coleoptera; Staphylinidae. The record is from RNAcentral.
AGAGAAUAGUUUAUUUAAAAUAUUAAUUUUGGAGAUUAAUGAAGGGAGAUUUCCUUUCUCUGAA